This 471-nucleotide ribosomal RNA is filed under the name uncultured bacterium. RNAcentral describes it as "bacterial SSU rRNA". It matches the Rfam family "Bacterial small subunit ribosomal RNA", at positions 331 to 794 of the family's 1533-position model. The record is from RNAcentral.
CCAGACUCCUACGGGAGGCAGCAGUGGGGAAUAUUGCACAAUGGGCCCAAGCCUGAUGCAGCCAUGCCGCGUGUAUGAAGAAGGCCUUCGGGUCGUAAAGUACUUUCAGUCGGGAGGAAGGUGGUAAGGUUAAUAACCUUAUCAAUUGACGUUACCGACAGAAGAAGCACCGGCUAACUCCGUGCCGGCAGCCGCGGUAAUACGGAGGGUGCAAGCGUUAAUCGGAAUUACUGGGCGUAAAGCGCACGCAGGCGGUCUGUCACGCCGGAUGUGAAAUCCCCGGGCUCAACCUGGGAACUGCAUUCGAAACUGGCAGGCUGGAGUCUUGUAGAGGGGGGUAGAAUUCCAGGUGUAGCGGUGAAAUGCGUAGAGAUCUGGAGGAAUACCGGUGGCGAAGGCGGCCCCCUGGACAAAGACUGACGCUCAGGUGCGAAAGCGUGGGGAGCAAACAGGAUUAGAUACCCCAGUAGU